CCUACGGGCGGCAGCAGUCGAGAAUCAUUCACAAUGGGGGAAACCCUGAUGGUGUGACGCCGCGUGGGGGAAUGAAGGUCUUCGGAUUGUAAACCCCUGUCAUGUGGGAGCAAAUUAAAAAGAUAGUACCACAAGAGGAAGAGACGGCUAACUCUGUGCCAGCAGCCGCGGUAAUACAGAGGUCUCAAGCGUUGUUCGGAAUCACUGGGCGUAAAGCGUGCGUAGGCUGUUUCGUAAGUCGUGUGUGAAAGGCGCGGGCUCAACCCGCGGACGGCACAUGAUACUGCGAGACUAGAGUAAGGGAGGGGGAACCGGAAUUCUCGGUGUAGCAGUGAAAUGCGUAGAUAUCGAGAGGAACACUCGUGGCGAAGGCGGGUUCCUGGACAUUAACUGACGCUGAGGCACGAAGGCCAGGGGAGCGAAAGGGAUUAGAUACCCGAGUAGUC
This 446-nucleotide ribosomal RNA is filed under the name uncultured bacterium. RNAcentral describes it as "partial 16S ribosomal RNA". It matches the Rfam family "Bacterial small subunit ribosomal RNA", at positions 338 to 795 of the family's 1533-position model. The record is from RNAcentral.